RNAcentral lists this ribosomal RNA (529 nucleotides) under uncultured Glomeromycotina. RNAcentral describes it as "SSU rRNA". It matches the Rfam family "Eukaryotic small subunit ribosomal RNA", at positions 569 to 1092 of the family's 1831-position model. Lineage: Eukaryota; Fungi; Glomeromycota. The record is from RNAcentral.
AGCAGCCGCGGUAAUUCCAGCUCCAAUAGCGUAUAUUAAAGUUGUUGCAGUUAAAAAGCUCGUAGUUGAAUUUCGGGAUUGGCGCAUCGGUCGUGCCUCACGGGGUAUGAACUGGUGCAGUCAAUUUCUCACCUUCUGGAGAACCGCGAUGUCCUUAAUUGGAUGCCGCGGGGAACCAGGACCUUUACUUUGAAAAAAUUAGAGUGUUUAGAGCAGGCAUUUUUGCUUGAAUACAUUAGCAUGGAAUAAUAAAAUAGGACGGCAUGGUUCUAUUUUGUUGGUUUCUAGGACCACCGUAAUGAUUAAUAGGGAUAGUUGGGGGCAUUAGUAUUCAAUUGUCAGAGGUGAGAUUCUUGGAUUUAUUGAAGACUAACUACUGCGAAAGCAUUUGCCAAGGAUGUUUUCAUUAAUCAAGAACGAAAGUUAGGGGAUCGAAGACGAUCAGAUACCGUCGUAGUCUUAACCAUAAACUAUGCCGACUAGGAAUCAGACGAUGUUAAUUUUUUAAUGACUCGUUUGGCACCUUACG